GACGAUGGCCGAGUGGUUAAGGCGUUAGACUUGAAAUCUAAUGGGUUCGCCCUCGUAGGUUCAAAUCCUGCUCGUGUCG
RNAcentral lists this transfer RNA (79 nucleotides) under Exophiala xenobiotica. RNAcentral's name for it is "tRNA-Ser (TGA) (tRNA-Ser-TGA-1-1)". It matches the Rfam family "tRNA". Rfam says of the family: Transfer RNA (tRNA) molecules are approximately 80 nucleotides in length. Their secondary structure includes four short double-helical elements and three loops (D, anti-codon, and T loops). Lineage: Eukaryota; Fungi; Ascomycota; Eurotiomycetes; Chaetothyriales; Herpotrichiellaceae. The record is from RNAcentral.